UUUCCAUCUGAUCAGGUUUUGGUGGAGAGCAGUGUCUAUGUUUUGUGGUCUCAACUGAAGACUUAAUUACAGCUCUUCUAUUACUCCACAAGUGCUACCAAAGAGAGUUGCAAGAGCAUUCAGCAAUAUUCAAGGAGGAACAACAUCAGUGUUUCAAAUGAACUCACUGACUGAACUAGCAUUGCUGCACAUCACACCCAGGUAUUUUGCCACCAACCUCAAUGUGCCUCUUGCUGUGUGAAGUCCUUUCGAGCAGUAACUCCCCUGCCAGCUUGAGCAGUAUUACAGAAGAAAGAGUUCUCAGUGUCACAGCAGGACUCCAGCAAGAUGGUAUUCCAGUUCCUGGAAUCAGGCACCUGUGCAAAACAGCUCUGAUGAGUUACAAAUCAUCAGGACCCCGCUGAUUUCACUAGAAUUUCUGAGUGCUCUUAGGUGUCUUCCUCCUGCUU
RNAcentral lists this long non-coding RNA (449 nucleotides) under Anas platyrhynchos platyrhynchos (common mallard). Its description in RNAcentral is "lncRNA (ENSAPLG00000028960.1)". The record is from RNAcentral. Lineage: Eukaryota; Metazoa; Chordata; Aves; Anseriformes; Anatidae.